AAACCAGCACCUCAAGUGGUCAGGAUGAUUAUUGGGCCUAAAGCAUCCGUAGCCGGCUCUGUAAGUUUUCGGUUAAAUCUGUACGCUCAACGUACAGGCUGCCGGGAAUACUGCAGAGCUAGGGAGUGGGAGAGGUAGACGGUACUCGGGAGGAAGUGGUCAAAUGCUUUGAUCUCUCGAUGACCACCUGUGGCGAAGGCGGUUUACCAGAACACGUCCGACGGUGAGGGAUGAAAGCUGGGGGAGCAAACCGGAUUAGAAACCCUGGUAGUCC
This 274-nucleotide ribosomal RNA is filed under the name uncultured bacterium. RNAcentral's name for it is "partial 16S ribosomal RNA". It matches the Rfam family "Archaeal small subunit ribosomal RNA", at positions 473 to 747 of the family's 1478-position model. The record is from RNAcentral.